Molecule: ribosomal RNA, 719 nt
Filed under: Echiniscus gracilis
Lineage: Eukaryota; Metazoa; Tardigrada; Heterotardigrada; Echiniscoidea; Echiniscidae
Description: Echiniscus sp. 5 PG-2022a partial large subunit ribosomal RNA
Rfam family: Eukaryotic large subunit ribosomal RNA
Source: RNAcentral
UUAAGCAUAUUAAUAAGCGGAGGAAAAGAAACCAACAGGGAUAUUCUCAGUAACGGCGAGUGAAGAGAAUACAGCCCAGCGCUGAAUCGUAUUGCUUGCAAGGGUUGUACGAAAUGUAGCGUGAAAUUGGCGGCUGUUGAUGUUGUCGAUGCGUGCAAGUCUUCUUGAGCGGGGCUCAGUCCCAGAGAUGGUGCUAGGCCCGUAUCGCGCGUGACAAGUACAACAACGCCCGCUUAUGGAGAGUCAGGUUGUUUGGGAACACAAUCUAAAGCCGGUGGUACACUCCAUCGAAGGCUAAAUAUGGCCACGAGUCCGAUAGCGAACAAGUACCGUGAGGGAAAAUUGAAAAGCACUUUGAAGAGAGAGCGAAAUAGUGCGUGAAACCGCUUAGAGGCAAGCAGAUGGAUUCUCGAAGGUGUGCAUAGGAUUGAUUUCCUAGUUCUCACGCCACCGCUGUUGUUGACGUGCACCAUGCGCUGACAUUUGGACGCUUGAGAUUGGGCCUCGUGCCUGCUCGAGACGCUCGGUGUCGGACGUAUUGAGUUGUUUUGUGGCAUGCGAUAACAGAGCAGAGCAUUUGUCGUCGCUGUAAAGCGCCGACUGUGGCCGCUUGCUGAUUCAUUGUUGUUGUGGCGAAGCGCAAGCUUCGACAUGCGAUAUGUAUUGCAACUCGGCUAUUAGUACCGGCAAGACGACUUUAAGACUCGGUGGCGAGUAGA